CUCGUAGGCGGUUCGUCGCGUCCGGUGUGAAAGUCCAUCGCCUAACGGUGGAUCUGCGCCGGGUACGGGCGGGCUGGAGUGCGGUAGGGGAGACUGGAAUUCCCGGUGUAACGGUGGAAUGUGUAGAUAUCGGGAAGAACACCAAUGGCGAAGGUAGGUCUCUGGGCCGUUACUGACGCUGAGGAGCGAAAGCGUGGGGAGCGAACA
This 207-nucleotide ribosomal RNA is filed under the name uncultured bacterium. Its description in RNAcentral is "partial 16S ribosomal RNA". It matches the Rfam family "Bacterial small subunit ribosomal RNA", at positions 568 to 774 of the family's 1533-position model. The record is from RNAcentral.